This 1235-nucleotide ribosomal RNA is filed under the name metagenome. Its description in RNAcentral is "bacterial LSU rRNA". It matches the Rfam family "Bacterial large subunit ribosomal RNA", at positions 1564 to 2810 of the family's 2925-position model. The record is from RNAcentral.
UGAAUACGAGAUGCUACGGCGUCGAAGCAGUCUAUGUCAUACUUCCAAGAAAAGCUCGCACUGUCAUAAACAAAUAAUGCCUGUACCAUAACCGACACAGGUGGGUAGGUAGAGUAUACUAAGGGGCGCGAGAUAACUCUCUCUAAGGAACUCGGCAAAAUGACUCCGUAACUUCGGGAGAAGGAGUGCCUUAUUUAUAAGGUUGCAAUAACAAGAUCCAAGCAACUGUUUAUCAAAAACACAGGUCUCCGCUAAGUCGUAAGACGAUGUAUGGGGGCUGACGCCUGCCCAGUGCCAGAAGGUUAAAGAAGUUGGUUAGCAUUCGCGAAGCUGAUAACUGAAGCCCUGGUGAACGGCGGCCGUAACAAUAACGGUCCUAAGGUAGCGAAAUUCCUUGUCGGGUAAGUUCCGACCCGCACGAAAGGCGUAAUGAUUUGGAUACUGUCUCGGAGAGGGGCUCGGUGAAAUAGACUUGUCUGUGAAGAUGCGGACUACCUGCACCAGGACAGAAAGACCCUAUGAAGCUUUACUGUAACUUGAGAUUGAAAUUGGACUUUACUCGCAGUAUAGGUGGGAGGCGUUGAUAAUAUUCUUGCGGGAUUAUUUGAGCCAUCAGUGAGAUACCACUCUUGUAAUGUUAGAUUUCUAACUUUGUAUCAUUAUCUGGUCAAAGGACAGUUUCAGGCGGGCAGUUUGACUGGGGCGGUCGCCUCCUAAACGGUAACGGAGGCGCACAAAGGUUUCCUCUGAACGGGUAGAAAUCGUAUCUAGAGUGUAAAGGCAUAAGGAAGCUUGACUGUGAGACCUACAAGUCGAGCAGGGACGAAAGUCGGUCUUAGUGAUCUGACGGUGCUGAGUGGAAAGGCCGUCACUCAACGGAUAAAAGUUACUCUAAGGAUAACAGGCUGAUCUCCCCCAAGAGUUCACAUCGACGGGGAGGUUUGGCACCUCGAUGUCGGCUCAUCGCAUCCUGGGGCGGUAGUACGUCCCAAGGGUUGGGCUGUUCGCCCAUGAAAGCGGUACGCGAGCUGGGUUCAGAACGUCGUGAGACAGUUCGGUCCAUAUCCGGUGUAGGCGUUAGAAUAUUGAGAGGAGCCUUCUUUAGUACGAGAGGACCGAGAAGGACAUACCUCUGGUGUACCAGUUAUCGUGCCAACGGUAAACGCUGGGUAGCUAUGUAUGGAGUGGAUAACCGCUGAAAGCAUCUAAGUGGGAAGCCCACCUCAAGAUAAGUA